AUGUCACCAUUGGUACCCUGGCAAUCAUUCUAAUACUAACACAGAAAGAGAAGUUUUAUAAAUUAUUUAAUGGAUGAAUCUACUUCCAACAAUAUUUUAACAUUGUUCCUCAACUUACAACAUGAUAUGUUAACACUAUAAAUUUACAAUAUAAAAUUUCUGGACCAAGUCAUAUCACAUGAUGCUUCUAAAGGUAUACAUAGAAAACGGCUGUAUUAUUGAAAACAGUUAUUUUGCACCUUGUGUGAAAGAGACGCUACUAACCAAACUGUUACAAAACAAAUAGUUAUACUGUUAGAAACACAAUAACAAGAUAACACACACAGAUUAAACUUAGUUUAAAAGUACACAUAAAUGAUACCUAUCAAGCAAAAAUAAGUAACAUUAAAGAAUAGACAUUAUGUUUAUUAAUAGAUUAUUUUGCAAACACUUGUAAAGAUAAUUUCAUAGUAAUUGGAACAGGAUUAGAUUAGAUGUUACUUAAUUAAAGCAAACAGUAAAAUCACUUUAGAAAGUUACCAAAAGGGAUGUAACUUAAAUAACUGGCUAAAGGGAUGUUAUUUACUAUUGCCAUAAUUUUUGUUUGCCAUUAGCAACAUUGAAAUUUCUAACAUAAAUUAACGCUCCGCCACCUUGAUUCAUAUUUUGUUUUAGUAAAAAGCUCAAAACAAGCACUCAAAUAUAUUGAAAAUAAUGUUACUUCUUUAUACUGGCAAACAAAAUACUUUAAUAUUACACACAAAAAACAAACUUUGUUUAUACUUUUUGCUUCAUUGCUUAUGUCUUACUUUUAAGUUUUAUUUUUAAAAUUUCAGUACACAGAUUAAUUUAUCUUGCUUAUAAUAAAAUAUCUUUGUACAUAUAACAGGCUAUUAUUUCAACUUGGAAUAUUUUUUUUCUGGAAUUUGCAUAAUUUCUUGUGCCUGAAAUAUUUUAUAAAUUCCACAUUUAUUCUGUAUUAUCAAGUUUUGAUCAGCCCAUUUGUAAAGAUAGUGUUGUGUGAGGCACAGUACAUUCUAUUAAAAAUGUUCUGCAGUACAUUCUAUUGAAAAUGUUCUAUCUUCUUUGUAAUAGAAAGUGUUGUGUGCCGCACCAAACAUUAAAAUAUUAAAAAUUUCAAGUUCAAGAAAUUAUGCAAAAAACAUAAUUAAAAAUAAUUUCAGGUUCAAAUAAUAGCCUUUUAAUGUACUUUCAACAAUAUUUUCACCAAAAUAAAUACAGAUAUAAAGGCACUAUAUAAACAGGUACAAAUAACAAUAGUAUCAGAAAAAUAUAUAUAAAAAUAGCCUGAGUAUUGAAGACACAUAAAAAUUGCCACAUGUAUUAUGCUUUUCUACCCAUUAAUCUCUGUUGACAAAAACUUUACAAAAAACAUAAAAUUAUGUUGAAUAUUUCCCAUCUUGCACAGUCACUGUUUCAUAGAAUAUCGUUGAGAGAAAGCACAAUGGUCAUCACAUAAUAAAUGAAGGAAGCAAAAAUGGAAAUGUAUUAAAAGGAAUGUUUAUCUGGGAAUUUUAUUGUAUUCAAAAUGUCAAUCAGUUUACUAAGCAACAAAUUAUGCCACACACAAGUUUAAGUAUCCUUGUGAUGUGCAGUAAUUUUGACACACACAUUAUGUGCAGAAAUUCCCUAGAAUUUCAAUUUGAAGCUGAUAUCAUAAAAAAAUACUAAAGAAACACAUAAAUAGUCAUGCAUUUCCGUAAAAAAUAGAAAUGAUUUCCAAAUUGAUGGAAAGUUAAGAAGCACAAAGAUGUUU
Molecule: long non-coding RNA, 1756 nt
Filed under: Mytilus galloprovincialis (Mediterranean mussel)
Lineage: Eukaryota; Metazoa; Mollusca; Bivalvia; Mytilida; Mytilidae
Source: RNAcentral